CGCCGUCACUCCUACGGGGAGGCAGCAGUAGGGAAUCUUCCACAAUGGGCGCAAGCCUGAUGGAGCAACACCGCGUGAGUGAAGAAGGGUUUCGGCUCGUAAAGCUCUGUUGUUAAAGAAGAACACGUAUGAGAGUAACUGUUCAUACGUUGACGGUAUUUAACCAGAAAGUCACGGCUAACUACGUGCCAGCAGCCGCGGUAAUACGUAGGUGGCAAGCGUUAUCCGGAUUUAUUGGGCGUAAAGAGAGUGCAGGCGGUUUUCUAAGUCUGAUGUGAAAGCCUUCGGCUUAACCGGAGAAGUGCAUCGGAAACUGGAUAACUUGAGUGCAGAAGAGGGUAGUGGAACUCCAUGUGUAGCGGUGGAAUGCGUAGAUAUAUGGAAGAACACCAGUGGCGAAGGCGGCUACCUGGUCUGCAACUGACGCUGAGACUCGAAAGCAUAGGUAGCGAACAGGAUUAGAUACCCUGGUAG
This 474-nucleotide ribosomal RNA is filed under the name uncultured bacterium. RNAcentral's name for it is "bacterial SSU rRNA". It matches the Rfam family "Bacterial small subunit ribosomal RNA", at positions 328 to 793 of the family's 1533-position model. The record is from RNAcentral.